Long non-coding RNA from Mirounga angustirostris (Northern elephant seal), 974 nucleotides. RefSeq lists it as uncharacterized. The transcript is spliced from 6 exons. NCBI's taxonomy places the organism in Eukaryota, Metazoa, Chordata, Mammalia, Carnivora, Phocidae. The record is from RefSeq and is a predicted model, not a curated record.
CUUGCAGCCACGACCCCGGAACGGGAGGAGGAGAGAGGCGGCCUCAGCUUAGCAGAGCCAAGCCUUUGGAAAAACAGGCUGCUCCUCCCCAGCGGCCAGCAGCGGCCCGGGCAGGGCGAGCGGCGCGGCGCGGCCGGUGCGCGCCGAGCGGCUCCCAGGAACCCCUGACUCUGGAGUGGCGGAUUGGAAUCUUCCUGCUUGGGGAAUCCAAGACUGGCUUGAGACCUCCUGAUAUCUCUGAGCCUUGAUUUCCACAUCUGUGAAACAAGGACAAUGGAGGAGACAGUCAGAUGACCUACACCUUAAGAUGAGAAAACCAAGCCAUUUGUCCAAGGGCUCACAGCCAACAAAAGAAAGGACCAGGAUCCACACCGUGCCACGUGGGAGCCUCAGUGACACAGAUGACCUGCAGGAGUACUGGUGUCCUUUGCCAGGGCUGCACACCUACCUGAUCCCAGUACUCAGACAAGUCAAAGGAGAAGACCCGGCAGGAACCAGGGAGGCUACAGGCCCAGGGUGCCCAGAAUCAACAAGUGCCCUGGACAGCGUUCUGCGCAUCACCCAAGCUCCAUCAUGUCAUGUUGAAUGAAGACAGUCCUGGCAUCGGAGAGGAAGAUCUAUUUCAACAAAUAACUGCACACAAAAUACGCAGGAGAACAUAGCUUCUGCAAGGGCAGGAAUCUUGACUACCUGGUAUGCUGAUACAUCCCCAACACCUGCAACAGCGCCUGACACACAGCUGGAGCUCCAUAUAUUCACUUACCAUUUCAAAAUCAACUUUACUGGGGUGCCUGGGUGGCUCAGUCUUUUCAACGUCCGACUUCGGCUCCGUUCAUGAUCCUAAGUCGGACUCCCUGCUCAGCAGGGAGUCUGCUUCUCCCUCUCCCUCUACCCCUCCUCCAUGCUUGUGCUCUCUCUCAAAUAAGUAAAUAAAACCUUUCAAGAAAAUAAACUUUAUUGAAGUAUAAUUUACA